RNAcentral lists this ribosomal RNA (368 nucleotides) under uncultured organism. RNAcentral's name for it is "bacterial LSU rRNA". It matches the Rfam family "Bacterial large subunit ribosomal RNA", at positions 2099 to 2465 of the family's 2925-position model. The record is from RNAcentral.
CUUUACUGUAGCCUGGUAUUGGGUUCGGGCUUUGCCUGCGCAGGAUAGGUGGAAGACUGAGAAGUGUGCCUUGUGGGGCACAUAGAGUCAACGGUGAGAUACCACUCUGUCAGCGCUAGAAUUCUAACCUUCACCCGUGAUCCGGGGAAGGAACCGUAUCAGGUGGGCAGUUUGACUGGGGCGGUCGCCUCCUAAAAGGUAACGGAGGCGCGCAAAGGUGUUCUCAGGCUGGUUGGAAAUCAGCCGUAGAGUGUAAAGGCAGAAGAACGCUUGACUGUGAGAGUGACAACUCAAGCAGGGUGGAAACACGGCCUUAGUGAUCCGACGGUAUGCGCGUGGAAGUGCCGUCGCUCAACGGAUAAAAGUUA